GGCUCAGAACGAACGCUGGCGGCGUGCUUAACACAUGCAAGUCGAACGAACCUUCGGGUUAGUGGCGGACGGGUGAGUAACGCGUGAGAAUCUGCCCUCAGGAGGGGGAUAACGGUUGGAAACGACCGCUAAUACCCCAUAUGCCGAGAGGUGAAAAGAAAUUCGCCUGAGGAUGAGCUCGCGUCUGAUUAGCUAGUUUUUCUCCUAAUGGCGCAGCGAAAAUUCGAUCAGUAGCUGGUCUGAGAGGAUGAUCAGCCAC
RNAcentral lists this ribosomal RNA (259 nucleotides) under uncultured bacterium. Its description in RNAcentral is "partial 16S ribosomal RNA". It matches the Rfam family "Bacterial small subunit ribosomal RNA", at positions 21 to 311 of the family's 1533-position model. The record is from RNAcentral.